AGAGUUUGAUCCUGGCUCAGAUUGAACGCUGGCGGCAUGCUUUACACAUGCAAGUCGAACGGCAGCACGGGGGCAACCCUGGUGGCGAGUGGCGAACGGGCGAGUAAUAUAUCGGAACAUAUCCGGAAGUGGGGGAUAACGUACCGAAAGGUACGCUAAUACCGCAUAUGCCCUGAGGGGGAAAGGGGGGGAUCGCAAGACCUCUCGCUUUCGGAGUGGCCGAUAUCGGAUUAGCUAGUUGGUGAGGUAAAGGCUCACCAAGGCGACGAUCCGUAGCUGGUCUGAGAGGACGACCAGCCACACUGGAACUGAGACACGGUCCAGACUCCUACGGGAGGCAGCAGUGGGGAAUUUUGGACAAUGGGCGAAAGCCUGAUCCAGCCAUGCCGCGUGAGUGAAGAAGG
Molecule: ribosomal RNA, 404 nt
Filed under: uncultured bacterium
Lineage: Bacteria
Description: bacterial SSU rRNA
Rfam family: Bacterial small subunit ribosomal RNA
Source: RNAcentral